UUGAGAAUCACCUGUUGAAACCUUCAGGUCUGCAUUUGAGGUGAAGUCUCUCCUUGAUCCCUGGGUCGGUUCCCAGUGAGCUCUCUCUUCGCUGACUCUUUUCUAUGUCAUAUGGUUAUAUUCCUUUGUAGCGUCCGAUUGUUAGCAUCCUGCUGUUUGCUACUUUCUACUUUUUUGCUGAUUGUGUGAUGUGUGUUUAAUGUCCUUUGUCAUUCCCAACACUAAGCUUCUGAGCAUCGUGAAGGUCUUUGAUUUAUUUGUGUCCCCAUCAUUCUUUGAUCAUAAAUGUGUAGGAAUUGAGGAAGCAGUAACACUCAUUUCCACAAUGAUUCCCUUCCUGAUGAACGACCAUUUUCUCCUUUAUUCGUCCUUCUCUUGGCACUUCUGUAUAUAGUAUUUGUUUUCCGUAAUUUUUCUGUUCCAAUUAGAGUACAAGUGUGAAAGGGCCUCGUGGUGUUCUGCUUUGAUGCUUGUUCAUCGCACGUCUUUUUGAGCCUCUCCUAUGUUCCAUCCAGCGUGUUAAGGAGCAGUAGAGAACUGUGGACAAUUCUGCUUGGAAGGUCGGCUCUGAGAGAACUGAAUCAGAUUGAGGCAGAACUGAGUAAACAUUGGCAGCGGCUGUUAGAGGGGCUUUCUUACUACAAACCUCCCAGUCCGAAUUCCGCUGAAAAAGUGAAAGCUAAUAAAGAUGUAGCUUCACCUCUGAAGGAACUGGGUUUAAGAAUCAGCAAGUUCUUGGGUCUUGAUGAAGAACAGAGUGUACAGUUACUCCAGUGUUACCUUCAAGAGGAUUACAGAGGUACCCGGGGCUCACUGAAGGUUGGUAGUUACGUGCAGCUCCCUUCUACUUUUAUCCUUUUCCUUGUUGGUUUGAGAUAACGUAGGGUUUUGCUAUCAGUUCUUUGCAGCACGGGUAGGUGAUGAGAUAUAGUCCUUCUCAGGAAAGACUAAAGGCUUAAAAAAACAUACUUAAG
Molecule: non-coding RNA, 974 nt
Organism: Equus caballus (horse)
Lineage: Eukaryota; Metazoa; Chordata; Mammalia; Perissodactyla; Equidae
Source: RefSeq, a predicted model, not a curated record